Molecule: ribosomal RNA, 253 nt
Filed under: uncultured bacterium
Lineage: Bacteria
Description: partial 16S ribosomal RNA
Rfam family: Bacterial small subunit ribosomal RNA
Source: RNAcentral
UACGUAGGGUGCGAGCGUUAAUCGGAAUUACUGGGCGUAAAGCGUGCGCAGGCGGUUUUGUAAGUCAGAUGUGAAAUCCCCGGGCUUAACCUGGGAACUGCGUUUGAAACUACAAGGCUAGAGUGUGGCAGAGGGGGGUGGAAUUCCACGUGUAGCAGUGAAAUGCGUAGAGAUGUGGAGGAACACCGAUGGCGAAGGCAGCCCCCUGGGUUUACACUGACGCUCAGGCACGAAAGCGUGGGGAGCAAACAGG